CCUACGGGAGGCUGCAGUCGAGAAUUAUUCACAAUGGGGGAAACCCUGAUGGUGCGACGCCGCGUGCGGGAAUGAAGCUCUUCGGAUUGUAAACUCCUGUCAUGUGGGAGCAAAUUACAACGCUAGUACCACAAUAGGAAGAGCCGGCUAACUCUGUGCAAGCAGCCGCGGUAAUACAGAGGUCUCAAGCGUUGUUCGGAAGCACUGGGCGUAAGGCGUGCGUAGGCUGUUUCGUAAGUCGUGUGUGAAAGGCGCGGGCUCAACCCGCGGAUGGCACAUGAUACUGCGAGACUAGAGUAAGGGAGGGGGAACCGGAAUUCUCGGUGUAGCAGUGAAAUGCGUAGAUAUCGAGAGGAACACUCGUGGCGAAGGCGGGUUACUGGACAGUAACUGACGCUGAGGCACGAAGGCGAGGGGAGCGAAAGGGAUUAGAUACCCUGGUAGUC
This 446-nucleotide ribosomal RNA is filed under the name uncultured bacterium. Its description in RNAcentral is "partial 16S ribosomal RNA". It matches the Rfam family "Bacterial small subunit ribosomal RNA", at positions 338 to 795 of the family's 1533-position model. The record is from RNAcentral.